GCUGGGCGUGGUGGUGCGUGCCUGUAAUCCCAGCUACUCGGGAGGCUGAGGCAGGAGAAUUGCUUGAACCUGGAAAUUGGAGGUUGCAGUGAGCCAAGAUCACGCCACUGAACUCCAGCCUGGUGACAGAGCAAGACUCCGUCUCAA
Molecule: unclassified non-coding RNA, 147 nt
Organism: Pongo abelii (Sumatran orangutan)
Lineage: Eukaryota; Metazoa; Chordata; Mammalia; Primates; Hominidae
Rfam family: Metazoan signal recognition particle RNA
About the family: The signal recognition particle (SRP) is a universally conserved ribonucleoprotein. It is involved in the co-translational targeting of proteins to membranes.
Source: Ensembl